Molecule: non-coding RNA, 231 nt
Organism: Paramuricea clavata
Lineage: Eukaryota; Metazoa; Cnidaria; Anthozoa; Malacalcyonacea; Plexauridae
Source: the annotation of a GenBank genome assembly
CAUGAUAUAGCAGUAUUGUUACAACCUUGUGUCGUCAACCUUGUAACAUUCUUGUUUAUCGUGACUGUAUCAGACUUAUUAGAACAACCUUGUGACAAGUCUGAUAAUAUCAACAAGGUUGUUACAACAAUUGGGAACAAGCAAUGCGAAGACAACUUGUUGACAGCUUGUGAACAGAUUUGUAACAACUUGUUUGCAGACUUGUAACAACUUGUGCGUUUUUACGUGUGU